Molecule: long non-coding RNA, 357 nt
Organism: Gorilla gorilla gorilla (western lowland gorilla)
Lineage: Eukaryota; Metazoa; Chordata; Mammalia; Primates; Hominidae
Exons: 3
Source: RefSeq, a predicted model, not a curated record
UUUUGCUAGUAGAUCACUGGGGAUGAUGGUGAGUGGUGUCACUUCCACUUCCACCCCUUGAUUCCUGGAGCUGUGAGUCCUGGCUAUGGGAGAAACAGUGCCAUAUAUGGGACGCUGAUUCAGAGCAUACACAGUCUUCUGGAAAACUUUGCCCCAGCUCUGCAAAGUAUUGUUACCUUGUUGGCAUUGUAAUUGUGACUUCAAAAGGCCGUUCCAUCAUUUUAUCAAUUCGGCUGCUUCAGGAUGACAGAUAACAUGGAAAGGACUCCAGCUUAUGAAAGAAAACGCAAAGAAAGAAGAGACCAUUCCACUGAGUGGUUAGUGAUAAAAAAGCAAGCAAGAAGUAAGAGAGAGGGG